UACAGGGGGGGCAAGCGUUGUUCGGAAUUACUGGGCGUAAAGGGCUCGUAGGUGGCCAAUUAAGUCAGACGUGAAAUCCCUCAGCUUAACUGGGGAACUGCGUCUGAUACUGGAUGGCUUGGAUUCGGGAGAGGGAUGCGGAAUUCCAGGUGUAGCGGUGAAAUGCGUAGAUAUCUGGAGGAACACCGGUGGCGAAGGCGGCAUCCUGGACCGAUAUUGACGCUGAGGAGCGAAAGCCAGGGGAGCAAACGGG
RNAcentral lists this ribosomal RNA (253 nucleotides) under uncultured bacterium. Its description in RNAcentral is "partial 16S ribosomal RNA". It matches the Rfam family "Bacterial small subunit ribosomal RNA", at positions 524 to 776 of the family's 1533-position model. The record is from RNAcentral.